Long non-coding RNA from Morone saxatilis (striped sea-bass), 559 nucleotides. RefSeq lists it as uncharacterized. NCBI's taxonomy places the organism in Eukaryota, Metazoa, Chordata, Actinopteri, Moronidae. The record is from RefSeq and is a predicted model, not a curated record. The transcript has 3 exons.
CUUGGAUAGGUCUGUAUGAUGAUUUGAUAAACAGCUGGAGAUGGUCCCUGAAUGACAGCAGCUUCUAUGGUAAAGGAGAGACAGAGUUUAGAAACUGGCAUAAUGACAGUGACCAGCCCAAUAACCUUGGAGGACAACAGUACUGUGUGGAGCUUCUUAGUGGUUCACACUUGGGGAAAUGGGGAGACACUGAGUGCAGCGCACAACGACAUUUUGUGUGCUACAAUGGUACAGUAAAUGGCAUAUCAUCUUUUAUAAAGGUCAACACAUCUCUGAAUUGGACCGAUGCUCAGACAUUCUGCAGGGAGAAUUAUGUUGAUCUAGCCAGCAUACGAAAUCAGACAGAAAAUGACAUUAUCACAAACCUGGCAAAUGGGGAGUUUGUGUGGAUCGGUCUUCACCGGGAAAAAGUUUGGUCUGAUGGAAGCACCUCUCUAUUUCGACACUGGGCUGCCAGGCAACCAAACUCUGGGACCCUUAGGUGUGUCACCACUUUGUUCAAUGACUCAGGACUGUGGUCAACUGAAGAUUGCGCAACAACAUUGCCAUUCAUCUGUUA